AGACAGGGUCUUGUUCUUUCACCCAGACUGGACUGCAGUGAUGCGAUCAUAGCUCACUGCAGCCUCGAACUCCUUCGCUCCAGAGAUCCCCCCACCUCAGUCUCUGGAGUAGCUGGGACUACAGAAGAAGAGAUUGGGACAUAGACACACACAGAGGAGGCCACGUGAGGACAGAGGGAGAAGGUGCCCCCACCUCAGAAGAAACCAACCCUGCCGACACUGUGAUCUUGGACUUCCAGCCUCCAGAACUGAGAAAAUAAAUGUGUGCUGUUUAA
This is a long non-coding RNA of Pan troglodytes (chimpanzee), 275 nucleotides long. RefSeq lists it as uncharacterized. The transcript has 2 exons. The record is from RefSeq and is a predicted model, not a curated record. NCBI's taxonomy places the organism in Eukaryota, Metazoa, Chordata, Mammalia, Primates, Hominidae.